UGAGUACGAGAUGCUACGGCAUCGAAGCAGUCUAUGUCAUACUUCCAAGAAAAGCUUGCAAUGUCAUAAACAAAUAAUGCCUGUACCAUAACCGACACAGGUGGGUAGGUAGAGUAUACUAAGGGGCGCGAGAUAACUCUCUCUAAGGAACUCGGCAAAAUGACUCCGUAACUUCGGGAGAAGGAGUGCCUUAUUUUUAUAAGGUUGCAAUAACAAGAUCCGAGCAACUGUUUACCAAAAACACAGGUCUCCGCUAAGUCGUAAGACGAUGUAUGGGGGCUGACGCCUGCCCAGUGCCAGAAGGUUAAAGAAGUUGGUUAGCAUUAGCGAAGCUGAUAACUGAAGCCCUGGUGAACGGCGGCCGUAACAAUAACGGUCCUAAGGUAGCGAAAUUCCUUGUCGGGUAAGUUCCGACCCGCACGAAAGGCGUAAUGAUUUGGAUACUGUCUCGGAGAGGGGCUCGGUGAAAUAGACUUGUCUGUGAAGAUGCGGACUACCUGCACCUGGACAGAAAGACCCUAUGAAGCUUUACUGUAACUUGAGAUUGAAAUUGGACUUUAUCUGCGCAGUAUAGGUGGGAGACGUUGAAAAUAUUCUUGCGGGAAUAUUGGAGUCAUCAGUGAGAUACCACUCUUAUAAUGUUAGAUUUCUAACUUUGUAUCAUUAUCUGGUCAAAGAACAGUUUCAGGCGGGCAGUUUGACUGGGGCGGUCGCCUCCCAAACGGUAACGGAGGCGCACAAAGGUUUCCUCUGAACGUGUAGAAAUCGUAUCUAGAGUGUAAAGGCAUAAGGAAGCUUGACUGUGAGACCUACAAGUCGAGCAGGGACGAAAGUCGGUCUUAGUGAUCUGACGGUGCUGAGUGGAAAGGCCGUCACUCAACGGAUAAAAGUUACUCUAGGAUAACAGGCUGAUCUCCCCCAAGAGUUCACAUCGACGGGGAGGUUUGGCACCUCGAUGUCGGCUCAUCGCAUCCUGGGGCGGUAGUACGUCCCAAGGGUUGGGCUGUUCGCCCAUGAAAGCGGUACGCGAGCUGGGUUCAGAACGUCGUGAGACAGUUCGGUCCAUAUCCGGUGUAGGCGUUAGAAUAUUGAGAGGAGCCUUCUUUAGUACGAGAGGACCGAGAAGGACAUACCUCUGGUGUACCAGUUAUCGUGCCAACGGUAAACGCUGGGUAGCCAUGUAUGGAGAGGAUAACCGCUGAAAGCAUCUAAGUGGGAAGCCCACCUCAAGAUAAGUAUUCUCC
RNAcentral lists this ribosomal RNA (1244 nucleotides) under metagenome. RNAcentral's name for it is "bacterial LSU rRNA". It matches the Rfam family "Bacterial large subunit ribosomal RNA", at positions 1564 to 2816 of the family's 2925-position model. The record is from RNAcentral.